ACACGGCGAAACCGCGGACGGCUCAUUAAAUCAGUCGUGGUCCGAAUGGGCUAGUGUUAUCCUACUUGGAUAACUGUGGUAAUUCCAGAGCUAAUACAUGCGACUGAAAUCCAGAAUUGUUGCGUUUUCUCUCUCUCACUGCGAGGGGGGGGAGCGUUAUUAUAUGACGGAUGCUUUUAUUAGACCAAACCGCUGAGAGAGACGUAUGUAUAGCGCACAUUGUGCGCGGUCUCUCGUAGACUCGUGUUAUGGUGACUCUGAAUAACAAACCACUCUGACAAGCGCACGUAUCCAUUUGUUUGGGACGGCGCUGCCACUUUCGAGUGUCUGCCUUAUCAGCUAUGUAUCGUUGGUUAUGUGCUACCGAUGGCUUUGACGGGUAACGGGGAAUCAGGGUUCGAUUCCGGAGAGGCAGCCUGAGAAACGGCUACCACGUCCAAGGACGGCAGCAGGCACGCAAAUUACCCAAUCCCAGCACAUGGGGGAGGUAGUGACGAAAUAUAACGAUGCGGGCGCCCCUUUUGGGGCCCCGCAAUCGGAAUGAGCAAUUUUCUUUCUAAACACCCUGUUGAGAACCUACUGAAGGGCAAGUCUGGUGCCAGCAGCCGCGGUAAUUCCAGCUUCAGCAGCAUCUACUAAAGUUGCUGCGGUUAAAAGGCUCGCAGUUGAAUUUCAGUAUCAAGUGCAGCGAUGGUGGACGUUGGAAUGUGGGAGCAACUCGUGCGUUUUUGUGCUCUCUCGUGCGCUCUCUGGAUCAAUCUCUAUCUCUCUCGCACGUGUGUGUGUGUGCGCGCGUGCGUACAUGCGCGUGUGUGUGUGCGCGUGUGUCUGAGCAGAGUGUGUGUCAUUGUUUUUUGUGCGUUUGUGUUCGCUCUCUAKCGAGCCUCCCCGCCUAAUUCCCGUCCGUAACAAACCUCCUCCCUCGAGUACAAAAUGGUAUCCAUUGUUGGAUGAAUGUGCGCG
RNAcentral lists this ribosomal RNA (963 nucleotides) under Cleonardo neuvillei. RNAcentral describes it as "bacterial SSU rRNA". The record is from RNAcentral. Lineage: Eukaryota; Metazoa; Arthropoda; Malacostraca; Amphipoda; Eusiridae.